This 445-nucleotide ribosomal RNA is filed under the name uncultured organism. RNAcentral's name for it is "bacterial SSU rRNA". It matches the Rfam family "Bacterial small subunit ribosomal RNA", at positions 346 to 784 of the family's 1533-position model. The record is from RNAcentral.
GUGCAGCAGUCGAGAAUUUUUCUCAAUGGGCGAAAGCCUGAAGGAGCGACGCCGCGUGGAGGAUGAAGGCCUUCGGGUUGUAAACUCCUGUCAUUUGAGAACAAGUGCCAACAAGUAACUACUGUUGGCUUGAUAGUAUCAGAAGAGGAAGGGACGGCUAACUCUGUGCCAGCAGCCGCGGUAAUACAGAGGUCCCAAGCGUUGUUCGGAUUCAUUGGGCGUAAAGGGUGCGUAGGUGGCGCCAUAAGUCAGGUGUGAAAUUUCGGAGCUUAACUCCGAAACUGCAUUUGAUACUGUGGUGCUUGAGGACUGGAGAGGAGACUGGAAUUUACGGUGUAGCAGUGAAAUGCGUAGAGAUCGUAAGGAAGACCAGUGGCGAAGGCGGGUCUCUGGACAGUUCCUGACACUGAGGCACGAAGGCCAGGGGAGCAAACGGGAUUAGAUA